GGCCCGGUGGCAGAGUGGUGAUGCAGAGGACUGCAAAUCCUUUUACGUCGGUUCGAUUCCGGCCCGGGCCUCCA
RNAcentral lists this transfer RNA (74 nucleotides) under Rhodospirillaceae bacterium. RNAcentral's name for it is "tRNA-Cys". It matches the Rfam family "tRNA". Rfam says of the family: Transfer RNA (tRNA) molecules are approximately 80 nucleotides in length. Lineage: Bacteria; Pseudomonadati; Pseudomonadota; Alphaproteobacteria; Rhodospirillales; Rhodospirillaceae. The record is from RNAcentral.